RNAcentral lists this long non-coding RNA (5807 nucleotides) under Taeniopygia guttata (zebra finch). Its description in RNAcentral is "lncRNA (ENSTGUG00000025884.1)". The record is from RNAcentral. Lineage: Eukaryota; Metazoa; Chordata; Aves; Passeriformes; Estrildidae.
AUGGAGCCGGGAGCGCGCCGGGAACGCCGGGGGGGUGAGGGGACAGCGGGACGGGGACGGGGACGGGCACGGGGUGGUCCUGGUGCCACCCCCGGUGCCACCCCCGGUGCCACCCGGCCUGUGCCCAGCCAGGGGCUCCGGAAGGGCCGCGCCGGGAUCCAGGAGCAGCCGGGAAAGGCGGAAUUCCAGCCGGAUCCCAAGGGGCAGGAGCAGCCAGGGCCGGGUGGGGCCCGGAUCCAGCCGGGUUUUCCCUUUGGAUCCUACGAGCCCUCGGUGGCCUCGGGGACAGCGCGGAGACGGGAACGGAGGUGUCCGGCUGGGAGCAGCUCCCGACGUCCCUCCGGGGCCACCUGGCUGGGGCUCAAGGACGAGGAUUUCCUGGAAUUAGGGGACGAGGAUUUCCCGGGAUUGGGACAGAAGGGAAAGGAUUUCCCGGGAUUGGGAUCAAAGGACAAGGAUUUCCUAGGACUGGGAUCGAAGGAUGAGGAUUCCCCAGGACUGGGAUCGAAGAACAAGGAUUUCCCGGGAUUGGGACUGAAGGACGAGGAUUCCCCAGGAUUGGGAUCUAAGAACAAGGAUCCCCCAGGAUUGGGAUCUAAGAACAAGGAUUUCCCAGGAUUGGGAUCGAAGGACGAGAAUCCCCCAGGACUGGGAUUGAAGAACAAGGAUUUCCCGGGAUUGGGACUGAAGGACGAGGAUUCCCCAGGAUUGGGAUCGAAGAAACAGGAUUUCCCAGGACUGGGAUCAAAGGACACGGAUUUCCCGGGACUGGGACAGGACAAGGAUUUUCUGGGACUGAAGAGCAAAGAUCCUCCAGGAUUGGGAUCGAAGAACAAGGAUUUCCCGGGAUUGGGAUGGGAGGAUGAUAAGGAUUCCCCAGGGCUGGGAUCAAAGAACGAGGAUUUCCCAGGAUUGGGAUCGAAGAACAAGGAUUUCCUGGGAUUGGGACAGAAGGACGAGGAUUCCCAGAAGGACAAGGAUUCCCGGAAGGACAAGGAUUCCCAGAAGGACGAGCAUUCCCAGAAGGAUGAGGCUCCCGCCGCCCCGGGAUCCCCGCGGGGACGGGGCUGGCUCGGCGCUGCCCCGGCCCCAAAGUGGUGCCCGGCGGAGCCUCCGGAGCCCCCCGAGCCCGGCAGGUAAAGGAGCUCCUGGGAAUUCCCACCUGGCAUCCAGGAGAUGUCCUGGGCCAGGGAUCCCAGCCCAGGUGUCCUCCAGGUGUGCCAGGGGAUGUCCCUGUCCCACGUGUGCCCAGGUGUGCCAGGGGAUGUCCCUGGCCCAGGGGAUGUCCCUGUCCCAGGUGUCCUCCAGGUGUCCCCGGAAAUGUGUCUAUUCUGGAAUUCUCCCACCUGAGCUCCUCCCACCUCCUGUCCGAGGCUCCCCUGGCUCAGCUCACCUGGGACAGGUGUCACCUGGGAGGGCUCAGGUGUCACCUGGGAGGGCUCAGGUGUCACCUGGGAGGGCUCAGGUGACCGGUGUCGGGGAGGGCACCCUGGGUUGGAGGUUUGGGGUGUCCCCGUUCCCUCCAAAUCCCAAAGGUGGGAUCCCUGACGCUGGACAGGUGGGGAGGGACAGGUGACACAGGUUGCACGGGUGACACAGGUGAUAGAGGUGGCACAGGUGGCACAGGUGACACAGGGGAGAUGGCACAGGUGACACACGUGACAGGUGGUACAGGUGGCAGAGGUGACACAGGUGGCAGAGGUGACACAGGUGGCACAGGUGACAUGACACAGGUGGCAGAGGUGACAUGGCACAGGUGACUCAGGUGGCAAAAAUGGCACAGGUGAGAUGGCACAGAUGGCACAGGUGACACAAUUGGCACAGGUGACACCAGUGACAUGGCUCAGAUGACACAGGUGACAUGGCACAGAUGACACAGGUGGCACAGGUGGUUCAGGUAGCACACGUUACAUGGCACAGGUGGCACAGGUGACUCAGGUGACAUGGCACAGAUUACACAGGUGGCUCAGGUGGCACAGGUGACAUGGCACAGGUGGCACAGAUGGCACAGGUGGCUCAGGUAGCACAGGUGGAACAGGUGGCUCAGGUGACAUCACACAGAUGACACAGGUGGCUCAGGUGGCACAGGUGACAUGGCACAGAUGACACAGGUGGCUCAGGUAGCACACGUUACAUGGCACAGGUGGCACAGGUGACUCAGGUGACAUGGCACAGAUUACACAGGUGGCUCAGGUGGCACAGGUGACAUGGCACAGGUGGCACAGAUGGCACAGGUGGCUCAGGUAGCACAGGUGGAACAGGUGGCUCAGGUGACAUCACACAGAUGACACAGGUGGCUCAGGUGGCACAGGUGACAUGGCACAGAUGACACAGGUAGCACAGGUGGCAUGGCACAGGUGGCACAGAUGGCACAGGUGGCUCAGAUAGCACAGGUGACAUGACACAGGUGGCACAGGUGACUCAGGUGACAUGGCACAGGUGUCACAGGUGGCUCAGGUGGCUCAGGUGACAUGGCACAGGUGGCACAGAUGACACAGGUGGCACAGGUGGCUCAGGUAGCACAGGUGACAUGGCCCAGGUGGCACAGAUGACAGAGGUGGCACAGGUGGCUCAGGUAGCACAGGUGACAUGGCACAGGUGGCACAGGUGGCUCAGGUGGCUCAGGUGACAUGGCACAGGUGGCACAGAUGACACAGGUGGCACAGGUGGCUCAGGUAGCACAGGUGACAUGGCGCAGGUGGCUCAGGUAGCCCAGGUGACAAGGCACAGGUGACGCAGGUGAUGUGGCACUGUGGCACAGGUAGCCCGGGCUGGGGCGGGUCCUGCCCCCCCUCUCGCUCAUUCCCUGUGGGAUCUGUUCCCGCUCCAGGCUGGUGGGACCCGGUGGGACCCGCCCCCGCGGGCAGCUGGCGGCAGGUGAGGCCCUGGCACCGCAGGUGUCCCCGAGCUCACCUGGCCUGGCCAGGGACACCUGGGGAGCCCCGGGAACCGGGGAGCUCUGCGGGGGGACGGGGUAGUGGGAUAGCGGGUAACGGGAUAGUGGGAUAUCGGGAUAAUGGGAUAGUGGGAUAAUGGGAUAGGAUGGGAUAUCGGGAUAAUGGGGUAGGAUGGGAUAAUGAGAUAGUGGGAUAAUGGGAUAGUGGGAUGAGAUAAUGGGAUAUGGGGAUAAUUGGAUAAUGGAAUAUUGGGAUAAUGGGCUAACAGGAUGGGAUAAUGGAUAUCAGGAUAAUGGGAUAUCAGGAUAAUGGGAUAAUAGGAUGGGGUAAUGGGAUAACAGGCUGGGAUAAUAGGAUAUCAGGAUAAUUGGAUAACAGGCUGGGAUAAUGGGAUAUCAAGAUAAUGGGAUGAUGGGAAAUUGGGAUAAUGAAAUAUCAGGAUAAUGGGAUAUCAGGAUGGGAUAAUGGGAUAGUGGCAUAUCGGGAUAAUGGGGUAAUGGGAUAAUAGGAUAAUGGGACAGGAUAAUGGGAUAGUAGGAUAUCAGGAUAAUGGAAUAGUAGGAUAAUGGGGUGGGAUAAUGGGAUAACAGGAUGGAAUGAUGGGAUAAAGGGAUGGGGCUGGAUGGGAUAGGAUCCAUGGGAUGGGAUAAUGGGGUGGGAUUGGAUCCAUGGAAUGGGAUGGGAUCAAUGGGAUUGGAAGGGAUCCAUGGUGUGGGAAGGCACCAUGGGAUGGGAUCCACAGAAUGGGAUGGGUUCAAUGGGAUGGGAUUGGGAUGGAAUGGGAGAGAUGGAUGGGAUGGGAUCCGUGGGAUCAAGGGAAUCCAUGGGAUCAAUGGGAUGGGAUAAUGGGAUGGGAUCCAUGGGAUCCAUGGGAUGGGACAGUUCCCUUCCUUCCAUGUGUCCCAGUGAUGGAUUUGUCCCAUUUUCCACCCCAGCCAUGCAGGAGCUGCCGGGUCCUGCCACGCCCACUCAGGUGGGUGCUGGGGCAGGAGCGGGAAAGGAUCCCUGGGGAUCCCCUGGGAUCUGGGGGGGCUGGGCAUGGAUCAGCAUUCCCAGGAGAGGAGAGCUUGCCCUUUCCCAGGCCUCUCCUGGAGCAUCCCUGUGUCCCCACAGGAGGAUCCAGCAGCUCCUCCAGCCCCACCCCGCCCGGAGAACCCCCGAGCUCUCCCGUCCUGGCUCUGUCCGGAGCAUCCCGCAGCUUUCCCAGCCCGGAGGCACCAGGAGGCUCCAGGAGCUCUCCCAUCCCAGCCCCACCAGGAGGCUCCAGGAGCUCUCCCGUCCCAGCCCCACCAGGAUUCCCAAACUCUCCAAUCCCACCCGUGCCAGGAGCAUCCCGGCUGUGGGAUCGCCCUGCGCAGCCUCCAGGCCCGGCUGGAGGAACUGGAAAACCAGGUGGGGGCUGAGGGUAUCACCUGGGGGGGCACCUGGGGCACGGCCACUCCAGGGUGGCACUUGGAGCCCGUCCCAUUCCCGCCAGGUGGCGGACGCUGGAGCUGGAGCGGGCACGGCAGGAACUGGUCCUGCAGCACCUCCCAGAGAGCGGCCACAGGUAACGGGGUCUCACCUGGGCUCCCAGUUCCCUGCUCCAGAUCCCGGGAUGACCCCAGAUCCGAGGAUCACCCUGGGGCACAGGAUCACCCCAGAUCUCUGGAUGACAACAGACCCCUGAAUCACCCCACAUCCCAGGAUCACCCUGGAUCCCACCACCACCCCAGAUCCCUGGAUCACCCUGGGGCACAGGAUCACCCCAGAUCCCAGGUUCACCCCACAUCCCUGGAUCACCCAGAUCCCAGGAUCACCCCGCAUCCCAGGAUCACCCCACAUCCCAUGAUCACUCCAGACCCCUGGAUCACUCCAGAUCUCUGGAUCCUUGAGACCCCAGGAUCACCCCACAUCCCAUGAUCACUCCAGACCCCAGGACCACCCCAUAUCCCAUGAUCAUCCCAGAUCCCAGGAUCACCCCAGGCUCCUGGAUUACCCCAGAUCCCAGAAUCACCCCAGAUCCCUGGAUCACCCCACAUCCCAUAAUCACUCCAGAUCCUUGGAUCACCCCACAUCCCAUGAUCACCCCAGACCCCAGGAUCACCCCAGACCCCGGGAUCACCCCGGAACCCAGGAGCAGCACGAGCAGCUCACAGGUAAAUUCCCUCCAAGUGCAUCGUUCCAGUGGGACCCUCUGCUUGUUCCCAACGGCUCGGAGCCGAUCCCACAGAAUCCAGGCGGUCCCGGGACAAGUCCUGGUGUCCUGGAGGAUUCCUGGGCCUGUAGAUCCCUGUCCCAGCCCUCCUGGGGGGAUUCCUGGCCAGAGGCUCUGCUGCUCCAGUGCCCAGCGGCGCUCGAACAGGGCUGCUCCAGUGCCCAGCGGCGCUCGAACAGGGGCUGCUCCAGUGCCCAGCGGCACUCGAACAGGGGCUGCUCCAGCGCCCAUUGGCGCUCGAACAGGGGCUGCUCCAGCGCCCAUUGGCGCUCGAACAGGGACUGGCUCCAGUGCCCAGUGCUGCUCGAACAGGGGCUGCUCCAGCGCCCAUUGGCGCUCGAACAGGGACUGGCUCCAGUGCCCAGCGGCACUCGAACAGGGGCUGCUCCAGUGCCCAGCGGCGCUCGAACAGGGGCUGCUCCAGUGCCCAGAGGCGCUCGAACAGGGGCUGGCUCCGUCCGGGAUCCCACCGGAUCCUCAGGAAAGGGGAAGAGUUCCACGGGAUAUUCACUGGAAUCACGAGGAAUUGCAUGAAAUUCACUGAAUUUUCCGAUUCACAGAAUUUGCAGAAGUUCACAGAGUUCACAGAACUCAUGGAAUUCACGGAAUGCACAGAAUCCAUGGAAUUCUCAGAAGUCACGGAAUUCAUGAAAUUCACGGAAUUCUCCAAAUUCACAGAAUUCACAGAAUUUGCAGGAUUCACAGAAUUCUUC